UCGUUAUCCCACUAUAUAAAAGGGACUAAUUUUGAAUGUUAUAAAGGAUGCCACAUAGGCAAAAUAUUCUCAUCCAUUCAUUCUGCCACGUCACUGGCAACCCAGACCAACAAAUCGUAAUUGCAGCCCAAGCUAACCAAACCAUUAAUCUCAAGUAAUCGUCAUACAAGCACCGUGAUGCCUUCUCUCUUAUAUCGUGACAGCUCUGCUCCUCUCCGCCUAUCUUUUUCUGCGUCUCUACUCUUCUCUGACUCUCUCCAUUCCACAUCUGUUUUUUCUCUUUCCUCAGAUUCCACUCUCGCGAGAUCUCUGCUCAUGUCUCUCCAUCUCCACUACCGGCUCUGUCAAUUGUUGAAGAAUCGAAGGGUGGAGACGAACCAAUGGAGCGAUGUGGUGAUGACAGAGGAAGAGGGGAUUCAGUUUCUAAUGGUGGACGCUCGUCACAGAUCUUUUGCAGGUUAGAUUGUAGAUAGUUAAAACUAUGUAUGAAUUUUGAUUGGUCAAUAUUUAAAAAAAAAAUAACUUUGUUGUUGGUUUGAUGUAUGUGAGGAGGUGCGAUGUAAUCAGUUUCAGAGCGUUGCAUUUUCGACUGAUGGGAUUGCGACAACACCUACCAUGAGGAAACUGAAUCUCAUUUGGGUCACUUCGAGAAUGCACAUUGAGAUCUACAGAUAUCCAGCUUGGGGUGAUGUGGUUGAGAUAGAGACAUGGUGUCAGAGUGAAGGAAGGAUCGGGACAAGGCGUGAUUGGAUUCUUAAGGACAUUGCUAACGCUGAAGUCACUGGCUGUGCUACUAGGUUUCCUUCUCAUCAUUUUUUUGCUUUCUCCAUUGGUUUGUGCAAUAGAAUUAAAUUUUCUUAUGUUAAAGAUAUAACUUUCAGUUACUUGGAUUUAUGUUAAAGAUAUAAUUUUCAUUUCCGAGCACUUGAUGUUCUGUCUUAAAGAACCCAGGUAAAAGGAACUUUGUGUCCAGGUCAAUGCAAUGCUUGCUGGUCAAUCAUAUCGUUAUAUUCAUGAAAUGCCCACUACUAUGUUUUAUGUAUAUCUUUGUAGAUUAGCAUUUCCUGUGGAGGAAAAUAACAGAAGCUUGAAGAAAAUCCCCACACUCGAAGAUCUAGCUAAGUACUCAAUCAUUGGACUAAAGCCAAGACGAGCUGAUCUCGACAUGAACCAUCAUGUCAAUAAUUUCACCUAUAUUGGAUGGAUUCUUGAGAGCAUACUCAAGAGAUUGUAGACACGCAUGAACUUUGGAUUACAGACGAGAAUGUCAGCAAGACGAUGUGGUGGAUUCACUCACCACCUCAAAGAAUGGCUCUGCAACAUCAGGCACACAAAGCCACAACGAUAGCCAGUUCUUAUCUGGAGAUGGUCAGGAGAUCAACUGUGGGACAACCCUGUGGAGAAAGAAGCCCUCCAGAUAGACAAUCCCUAAGCCAUUACGAGUCAAGGACCAAUCAUUUUCACAUAAACCUCUUUGCUUAUUUGAUUAAACAAGUUACAUGACUGAUAACAGAUUCUGCCUAUUACAAAGUCUCAUAAAUUUCAAAUAAUGUGAGUAAAUAAAUAGAAAACAGAGAAUUGGUAAAAUAUAAACAGAGUAAAGAUACAUUGAAAGUUAUGUCAAAGCUUCUCAGUUAAUCUAA
This is an RNA transcript of Brassica napus (rape), 1643 nucleotides long. It is a transcript of the gene named oleoyl-acyl carrier protein thioesterase 1, chloroplastic, with no coding region annotated. The transcript is spliced from 5 exons. Lineage: Eukaryota; Viridiplantae; Streptophyta; Magnoliopsida; Brassicales; Brassicaceae. The record is from RefSeq and is a predicted model, not a curated record.